This 403-nucleotide ribosomal RNA is filed under the name uncultured bacterium. RNAcentral's name for it is "bacterial SSU rRNA". It matches the Rfam family "Bacterial small subunit ribosomal RNA", at positions 975 to 1375 of the family's 1533-position model. The record is from RNAcentral.
CAACCUUUGACAUGUCCCGUAUGAGCAACAGAGAUGUAGGUCUUCAGUUCGGCUGGCGGGAACACAGGUGCUGCAUGGCUGUCGUCAGCUCGUGUCGUGAGAUGUUGGGUUAAGUCCCGCAACGAGCGCAACCCUCGCCCUUAGUUGCCAUCAUUUAGUUGGGCACUCUAAGGGGACUGCCGGUGAUAAGCCGCGAGGAAGGUGGGGAUGACGUCAAGUCCUCAUGGCCCUUACAGGUUGGGCUACACACGUGCUACAAUGGCGGUGACAAUGGGAUGCAAUGGGGCGACCCUGCGCAAAUCUCAAAAAGCCGUCUCAGUUCGGAUUGCACUCUGCAACUCGAGUGCAUGAAGUUGGAAUCGCUAGUAAUCGCAGAUCAGCACGCUGCGGUGAAUACGUUCCC